Molecule: microRNA precursor, 113 nt
Filed under: Marmota monax (woodchuck)
Lineage: Eukaryota; Metazoa; Chordata; Mammalia; Rodentia; Sciuridae
Source: RNAcentral
CAGUGUUUUUCCUGGGGAUCUUGUUAAAAUGCAGAUUUGGAUUCAGUAGUUCUUCUGAUCUACCAACACUUCUGAGAUUCUGCAUUUCUGAGAAGGUCCCAGGGAACGAACGU